Molecule: ribosomal RNA, 495 nt
Filed under: uncultured bacterium
Lineage: Bacteria
Description: partial 16S ribosomal RNA
Rfam family: Bacterial small subunit ribosomal RNA
Source: RNAcentral
GACGAACGCUGGCGGCGUGCCUAAUACAUGCAAGUAGAACGCUGAAGGAGGAGCUUGCUCUUCUGGAUGAGUUGCGAACGGGUGAGUAACGCGUAGGUAACCUGCCUGGUAGCGGGGGAUAACUAUUGGAAACGAUAGCUAAUACCGCAUAACAGUAGAUGUUGCAUGACAUUUGCUUAAAAGGUGCAAUUGCAUCACUACCAGAUGGACCUGCGUUGUAUUAGCUAGUUGGUGGGGUAACGGCUCACCAAGGCGACGAUACAUAGCCGACCUGAGAGGGUGAUCGGCCACACUGGGACUGGGACACGGCCCAGACUCCUACGGGAGGCAGCAGUAGGGAAUCUUCGGCAAUGGACGGAAGUCUGACCGAGCAACGCCGCGUGAGUGAAGAAGGGUUUCGGAUCGUAAAGCUCUGUUGUAAGAGAAGAACGAGUGUGAGAGUGGAAAGUUCACACUGUGACGGUAUCUUACCAGAAAGGGACGGCUAACUACGUG